This 441-nucleotide ribosomal RNA is filed under the name uncultured bacterium. RNAcentral describes it as "bacterial SSU rRNA". It matches the Rfam family "Bacterial small subunit ribosomal RNA", at positions 341 to 774 of the family's 1533-position model. The record is from RNAcentral.
UCGGAAGGCAGCAGUGGGGAAUAUUGCACAAUGGGCGCAAGCCUGAUGCAGCCAUGCCGCGUGUAUGAAGAAGGCCUUCGGGUUGUAAAGUACUUUCAGUCGUGAGGAAGGUGUUAAGGUUAAUAACCUUAGCAAUUGACGUUAGCGACAGAAGAAGCACCGGCUAACUCCGUGCCAGCAGCCGCGGUAAUACGGAGGGUGCGAGCGUUAAUCGGAAUUACUGGGCGUAAAGGGCACGCAGGCGGUUAAUUAAGUUGGAUGUGAAAUCCCCGGGCUUAACCUGGGAAUGGCAUUCAAGACUGGUUAGCUAGAGUCUUGUAGAGGGGGUUAGAAUUCCAUGUGUAGCGGUGAAAUGCGUAGAGAUGUGGAGGAAUACCGGUGGCGAAGGCGGCCCCUGGACAAAGGACUGACGCUCAUGUGCGAAAGCGUGGGGAGCAAACG